UACGGAGGAUCCGAGCGUUAUCCGGAUUUAUUGGGUUUAAAGGGUGCGCAGGCGGAAGAUUAAGUCGGUGGUGAAAUUUUGCAGCUCAACUGUAAAAGUGCCAUUGAUACUGGUUUUCUUGAGUGUGGAUGAAGUAGGCGGAAUUUGUGGUGUAGCGGUGAAAUGCUUAGAUAUCACGAGGAACUCCGAUUGCGCAGGCAGCUUACUAAACCACUACUGACGCUCAUGCACGAAGGCGUGGGGAGUCAAACAGGAUUAGAUA
Molecule: ribosomal RNA, 262 nt
Filed under: uncultured prokaryote
Description: partial 16S ribosomal RNA
Rfam family: Bacterial small subunit ribosomal RNA
Source: RNAcentral